GACGAACGCUGGCGGCGUGCUUAACACAUGCAAGUCGAACGGAAAGGCCCCUUCGGGGGUGCUCGAGUGGCGAACGGGUGAGUAACACGUGGGUAACCUGCCCCCUGCUUCGGGAUAACUCCGGGAAACCGGGGCUAAUACCGGAUAUUCAUUUCGCACCGCAUGGUGUGGGGUGGAAAGUUUUUUCGGCUGGGGAUGGGCCCGCGGCCUAUCAGCUUGUUGGUGGGGUGAUGGCCUACCAAGGCUUCGACGGGUAGCCGGCCUGAGAGGGCGACCGGCCACACUGGGACUGAGACACGGCCCAGACUCCUACGGGAGGCAGCAGUGGGGAAUAUUGCGCAAUGGGCGGAAGCCUGACGCAGCGACGCCGCGUGAGGGAUGACGGCCUUCGGGUUGUAAACCUCUUUCAGCAGGGACGAAUGUAGACGGUACCUGUAGAAGAAGCACCGGCCAACUACGUGCCAGCCGCCGCCGUAACAC
Molecule: ribosomal RNA, 480 nt
Filed under: uncultured bacterium
Lineage: Bacteria
Description: bacterial SSU rRNA
Rfam family: Bacterial small subunit ribosomal RNA
Source: RNAcentral